RNAcentral lists this ribosomal RNA (433 nucleotides) under uncultured bacterium. RNAcentral describes it as "partial 16S ribosomal RNA". It matches the Rfam family "Bacterial small subunit ribosomal RNA", at positions 29 to 507 of the family's 1533-position model. The record is from RNAcentral.
AGCGAACGCUGGCGGCAGGCUUAACACAUGCAAGUCGAGCGGGCCCUUCGGGGUCAGCGGCCGACGGGUGAGUAACGCGUGGGAACGUGCCCUUCGGUUCGGAAUAACUCAGGGAAACUUGAGCUAAUACCGGAUACGCCCUUAUGGGGAAAGGCUUGCUGCCGAAGGAUCGGCCCGCGUCUGAUUAGCUAGUUGGUGAGGUUAUGGCUCACCAAGGCGACGAUCAGUAGCUGGUCUGAGAGGAUGAUCAGCCACACUGGGAUUGAGACACGGCCCAGACUCCUACGGGAGGCAGCAGUGGGGAAUAUUGGACAAUGGGGGCAACCCUGAUCCAGCCAUGCCGCGUGAGUGAUGACGGCCUUAGGGUUGUAAAGCUCUUUUCUCCGGGACGAUAAUGACGGUACCGGAGGAAUAAGCCCCGGCUAACUUCGUG